CCACUGCGCCCUGGGCUAUCGUGGCGACUACUGCGAGGAGGCCGAGGUGCAGCCCCUGGCAGGACCCAUUGUGCUGGGGAUAGCCGUGCUCCUGCUGCUGGCUGCUGCUGCUGUGGGGGCCCUGGCCUACAUGCGGAGGCGGGACAGGCGGAGGAGGACCUCGAGCACUGCUUCCACUCGGGUGCUGACCCUGUACCACCGUGAAAGUGAUCCAGAGGAAGAGGAUGAGGAGGAGGAAGAGCUUCCCCCCAAGAGUGAUACAUUUGUCAAUGAAGCUUAUGAAGGGAAAGAGGAGCUGCCAGCCCUGCUGAGGAAAGGACCAUCUCACAUCAACACCGUAAUUUCAUAAAGGAACGUUGUGCAG
This is a non-coding RNA of Agelaius phoeniceus (red-winged blackbird), 364 nucleotides long. NCBI's taxonomy places the organism in Eukaryota, Metazoa, Chordata, Aves, Passeriformes, Icteridae. The record is from RefSeq and is a predicted model, not a curated record.